RNAcentral lists this ribosomal RNA (498 nucleotides) under uncultured bacterium. Its description in RNAcentral is "partial 16S ribosomal RNA". It matches the Rfam family "Bacterial small subunit ribosomal RNA", at positions 28 to 507 of the family's 1533-position model. The record is from RNAcentral.
GACGAACGCUGGCGGCGUGCCUAAUACAUGCAAGUCGAACGAGAGCGACCGGUGCUUGCACUGGUCAAUCUAGUGGCGAACGGGUGAGUAACACGUGGGUAACCUGCCCAUCAGAGGGGGAUAACAUUCGGAAACGGAUGCUAAAACCGCAUAGGUCUUCGAACCGCAUGGUUUGAAGAGGAAAAGAGGCGCAAGCUUCUGCUGAUGGAUGUACCCGCGGUGCAUUAGCUAGUUGGUGAGGUAACGGCUCACCAAGGCCGUGAUGCAUAGCCGACCUGAGAGGGUGAUCGGCCACAUUGGGACUGAGACACGGCCCAAACUCCUACGGGAGGCAGCAGUAGGGAAUCUUCCGCAAUGGACGCAAGUCUGACGGAGCAACGCCGCGUGAGUGAAGAAGGUGUUCGGAUCGUAAAACUCUGUUGUUAGAGGAGAAUAAGUGCUAGAGUAACUGUUAGCGCCUUGACGGUAUCUAACCAGAAAGCCACGGCUAACUACGUG